This 253-nucleotide ribosomal RNA is filed under the name uncultured bacterium. RNAcentral's name for it is "partial 16S ribosomal RNA". It matches the Rfam family "Bacterial small subunit ribosomal RNA", at positions 524 to 776 of the family's 1533-position model. The record is from RNAcentral.
UACAUGUGGGGCAAGCGUUGUUCGGAAUUACUGGGCAUAAAGGGUGCGUAGGUGGCUUGUUACGUCAGGGGUGAAAGUUUUCGGCCCAACCGGAAAAUGGCCUUUGAUACUGGCGAGCUCGAGUGCGUGAGGGGUAACCGGAACGAGCAGUGUAGCGGUGAAAUGCGUAGAUAUUGCUCGGAAGGCCAACGGCGAAGGCAGGUUACUGGUGCGCAACUGACACUGAGGCACGAAAGCGUGGGGAGCAAACAGG